ACAACUGCCCACAGUUGUUUAACACGAGUUGAGGCCUAGAGCACUGCAAACGAGAUUAGCACCCGGCCCUUCCCACACCAGCAGCAGGAUUUGUGAUGCUCUGACUCCAUCGGUUUAAGAAUGCCACAUAGAACCCUCCUGCUCCUCCCUCCUAGCCCAUCCAAAUCCAGCAUCUAACAAUGACUCUACAUUACAUGGCAGCCAGGAAAGGAAGUGCACACAUCCAGUGAUAUUAUCAAGCUGCAGAAGAGAGUUUCAUGCAUUAAGAGCUCAAGCUAAUUUCAUGUACAUGUUAAGAAUCUGCUCCAAGGCAGGAAUGCUUUCAGUCAAGUGACUGAAUGAGGAAGGAAGCAUCCAG
Cyanistes caeruleus (blue tit) is the source of this 358-nucleotide long non-coding RNA. RefSeq lists it as uncharacterized. The record is from RefSeq and is a predicted model, not a curated record. Lineage: Eukaryota; Metazoa; Chordata; Aves; Passeriformes; Paridae.